GGGGGGUAGGGGGGUGCGGGAGCGCCGGCCGCGUCUGGACGGGAGCCGCCGCCGACUCCUCAGUCUCGACCGUCGGCGUCGCCCAAUCGCGUCGCGACGAUCCGCAUCAGCGGAACGAAAGGAUACUGAUAACACGUUGCGUGUUUUUUGUCGCUGUCGGUUUUGAUUUUGGAUCCCCCCGAUUUUUUUCUGAAAAUUUGCCGGGAAGCUCCGAUCGCUCGUGAAGAUUCUCGUUGUUAACUCAGUUCAGUGUACUCACAUUCUUGGUUUCGAAUUUUUCGCACCCAAGUGGGUUGUUUUGGUGAUAGUGUGUGUGGUGCGACCGAGUUCUGGAUUCCGCCUGUUAUUGGGAUUUCCGCUUUGAACAAUUGGAUACUAGGAAUUUAUUAAAAUGAAUUCCAUCUCAGGCUUAUCUGUUCUAAAAAAACCUUUCUCCUGGAAGUUUACCAAGUACCAUCGAUUUCAGAAGAAAAUAAAGCUGCAAAUCAAACAGAAAGAGGACGAGGUCUCGGUGAAGGACGCGCUGAACAUGAGCUGGGAGGACGAACCAGAGAGCUACACGGUGCUGGAAGUGGGCACACCGCCGGACUCGGGGAUCCACGAGCCGUGCCCGCAGUUCUGCUGGGACUUCGACAGGAAGCGCAAAAAGCAGAAGAGACCGCCAAACGCCAAGAGGGCCGACGACUCAGAGGUGGAUAGCGACCUGGGCAGCGAGACGGAGGAAGACGGCGUGUACAGCACGGUUGCCGAUGACGCCAGGCGCAGCUCCCAGUAUUGGUCCUUGCCCGGCGCUCUUGGAACGGUGCCAUUGUACGAGAACGCAUCGAAGAAAAAGGCCACGAAGCACUUCUACGAGAACUACCGGCUCUCCUCAUCCCUGAGCAGCUCGGACGAGGACGAGACAGCAACGGGCUCUAGCGGAGAGAACGAGGAACUCGAGCACAUCUACGACUACGUAGAAAACGUCCACGAGGGAGGAAGUCCACUGGGUAAAUCUUACCCGGUCAACGUCUUCCUAAGUCUCAUUGAGGGGGCCGACAACACCAUCAGCCCAGACCCAAACAUUUACGAGGUGCCCCCCGGCGCCAUCUUGAAUUUAGCCGGGUCGCCCCCCGACAACCACUCCAUGCACAACAUAACACCCCCCAACGGGUUCAAGGACACCCUCACCUGGGGCCGCCGCCACGAGCUUAGCUCUCUCCCGGUCGACGCUCUUUACUCGUCCGUCGUCAAGCCCAAGAGGAAGAAAGUGAAGAAAAGGCCCGGUCUUGACGUGCUCAAGAAUCUCACAGCGCAGGAGGACGACGAGGCACACACAGUGACAUCUACUGGUGAGGAAGUCAAAGAAAAGACAGGGACUGCUAAGGAGGUACAAGAGGUUGAGGCUCUAGAGGUGAACUCAAAGAACGAGUCUUUGAAAUUAGACUCGAAGAAGGAGUCCUUGAAAUUGGACCCUAAGAACGAAGAGGACGCGAAGGUGGCUCCUGAAGUAGCACCAGAGGGUGUUCUUGCAAAAAGCUCAGUGACUACCAGUAACGAGCCGGUCAAAAAAGAAGAAGGAACGAGGAUAGCUGAAGUGAGAACGGAGUCUGAGGUGGAGAAGGCUACAAAAGAAUUGAAAAAUGCUGUGGGGAAAAUCGGAAGGUCCAGGAGACAGAACGAGGCUGUUGAACCCUCUGCUGAGUUUGAUAAAGUCGCCGCUGAGUUGACUGUUGCCGAGAGUAAGGCUGCGAAACCAGGGUGCCGGGCGGAGAAAAAGACGAAAGAGAGACCAGCGAGAAAACCCAAGCCUGCGAUCAAACCAGAAAGCACCGAUAAAGAGGCCCCGAUAUUGCCAGAAGCUCUGGAAAAAGCUGAAAUUGACAAGGCUGUGGACUCAACACAGUCUUUCAAAGAAGAAAAACCUGAAUUAAACUGUGAAACACGAGGCGGAAAAAAUGGGGCAUCGGUUACUGAUGAAUGUAAAAUAAAGAAAAGUGAACCGCACAAAGAGGCAGUGAUCAAGUCAAAGGAAGUCACAGCCCAAAAUCAUGAAAGUUCAGAAAAGCGGAGUAAGUCACCGCAGAACAAAAUUAAAUCAGAUACUAACGAAAGGGCCAAAAAAUCAGAUGGAUCCCAGGGCACUUUAAGACGUAAGAAAGGAAAAGCCAAACAUGCACCGAACGUCAAGUCUCCUGAAGAGACAGCGUCUCCACCUGCGGGAGACUCGUGUCCCCCGGAGAGUAACUUAAAACCAACCUCCGUUAACAAGAAAAAACAGAAUAAAAACUCCCGACCAGAUCCUAAAGAAAAAAUGAAAGGUCCAAAAGCUCCCGCUAAAAGUGACAGGCCCAAAGCUGACGAUUGUGACGCAGCGAGUCGACCUCCAAUAAUCCCGAUUCUGAAGAAGGUUGUCAACGAAAAACCAACUCCAAGCCAAGAGAGAUAUCUCAAACGGCAGAUAAGUCACUCCCCGUUGGAAACCAUCGACCAAACCGAUGAGAAAAAAAGUAAAGCGAACAAACUAAUUACGCCGCCAGAAGUACUUGCAAACAAGACUGGAAAUAAUGAUCAGGUCGGCGAAACCCCUCAAAAUUCCACCUGUGAGCCAAAGGAAAAGUUAAGCACCGAGAUUCAAUUUUGUGGAAAAGACGAGACAUCAAAAAAGUCAGAGCAUGACGACACAUCGCAUUUGGUUAGCGAGAACGAGACAGAACAGACGAAACUCACAAGUUUCUCUGAGAAUCUUCAGCAAAAUACGCCCAUCGCCAUUGAAAUUUCUGACGAUGGCACCUGGGGAUCAGCCGAUCCGAACUGUACCUCUGAAAAAGCUGAGACAGAAAGCUCUGAAAAGUGCGAGGAACUCAAAAGUUCAGACUUCCUAAACGCAAAUCUGUCUGCCGAGGACAUAAAAAUGCAGCAUGUAUUGUCCGAGUAUGGGAACUCCUAUUUCAUUCAAACCGCCAACAAACCUGUCGAGAAGAAAAGUUCUAAACCAGCUGGCGCCAAUAAUCAUGUUGGGAAUAAAGGGAAAGUUCAAAGCUCUGCGCCGGCUCAGAGAUGCAGCCUCAGAGACGAGCUCAAACGCUUUGUAAGAGAGUCUGAGAUGGCUGCUCAGAGAGCUUUGGAAGCUGAGAAGGACCUUCCAAAAGAGCAGCAACCGGAAAAGAUUGUUGGAUCCGAAUUGACUCCGCAAGAAAUUCAUAAACUUGAGUCAGGUACGGAGGCAGAAGAUGCUGAAAUGUUGGCAAAGGGAAGGAAGGGCGUUCUUGAAAAGACGAUGGUCCGCGCUAAGAAGAGGGACAGCUGGAUCAAAGGUGAAGAUGUCACUUUAAGCACUGAUAAAGAGCGAAGAAUCGAUGAUUGGCUUUCAACUGGGGCGCAGCAGUUAAGCCUGCCCGUGAAGCUACCAGAGGAAAUCUACGACCUUGCCAUGGAUCCUAAUAUCUCUCUCUUGAUCACAAAAGAAGGUGAGUACAAUUUUGUGAUGCCUAAAUACAAAACAAGGACAAAAGGAUACCCCACUUCGCCUUGCGCUAAUGAGUUGUAG
RNAcentral lists this long non-coding RNA (3529 nucleotides) under Bemisia tabaci. RNAcentral describes it as "lncRNA ENSSSA1UGG011174". The record is from RNAcentral. Lineage: Eukaryota; Metazoa; Arthropoda; Insecta; Hemiptera; Aleyrodidae.